Long non-coding RNA from Sebastes umbrosus (honeycomb rockfish), 687 nucleotides. RefSeq lists it as uncharacterized. The transcript is spliced from 3 exons. The record is from RefSeq and is a predicted model, not a curated record. Lineage: Eukaryota; Metazoa; Chordata; Actinopteri; Perciformes; Sebastidae.
UUAAAACCAAGAUGGCCUCCGGAUGACCAGAAACCCUGAGCAGCUCAGUAAUAUCUCCUUUCCUUCUUCAGUAGGAGACACUAGCAGAGCUUCACCAGCAGAGGACGCCAUCCUCCUUUAUGUGACCAUCAUUGACAUCACAGUUUGAAUCUGUUCACAUGUGGUCAGCUCAGUCUGAGAGGAAGCACAAAAGGAACCUUGAAGGGGCUAUCUCAUAGGAAGUGGAAGUAGGAGCGUCCCUCUCUCUCUCUGUCUCUCUCUCUCUCUCUCUCUCUCUCUCACACCCCCACGGUCGCCCACUCGCCUUCCCAUCCUGUAGCUGUGAGCGCUGCGAGCCAGGAACACCCCCUCUCCGCAGGGCCAUGGCUGCCUGCUAGUAUUUUGGUAAUCGUCAUCCUCCCUGACCUGCUGGCCCGAUCCUGGCGCCAGGAGUCUCCACGCCUCCCCUCCACCUCCCAGAGCCGACUACCCCCGACCCCACGGAUAAUUCGGUCCAGCUGUUGCAAGGUGCCUUGCUCGCUCCCACCCACUAUACUCACACUUGCUUCUCAUACAGUUUUGUCUCAGGGAGGAAAAAAAAAACCCUGGCUUUGGGCUUUUUUGGAGGCCUCUCAAGUCUUUGCAUGGGGUCUCACUGGUGCAUAAAAUAAAUCCAAGUCAAUCACAGGCCUGGUUCCUGCUCUGCAA